CAGAGAAACAAGGAUCUCGUGUGCAUCCUUCUCCAGAGCAUCAGAAUCAAACAUGUUCCACCUUGGGCAUCUUAUUGUCUUAUGCAGCUUGCUCGUUGGGACCUNAAGAUCACUUUCUGAUACUAUUGACAGUGUCCUGAAUAACUGGGACUUUCUGGAACCUCUCCUUGCAAAUUUUCCCAUUUUUAACCUUGUCCUCCCAACUAUGGAUGGACUUUCUAAAUCUCGCAGGAGCACCUCCUUAAGAUCAACAGACCCUCAAGUCAACACUGACACAGAUACCCUUCAAAACCGGAGCCUGACUAUGGGGUCACUUCAGGAGACCACAGCUUGGUCCUUAGCCAAGGACAGGAUUCUAGAAGGUUUGAAAAUACAGGAUUUGGGUACAUCAACCCCAAAUUUAGGGUGAGUUGGUACUUAUUUACUCUCAGAACAGGGACUACCCCUCUGAGGAAGCCAAUUCAAUGUCAGGAAUAGAUGGAUAAGCCUCUCAUUCACCACAGAGAUGAAGAGUUCUGAGACAAGGUUCGUUAGAACUUAACUAAGUCUGAGGCUGGGGUACAGGGCCAGUGGGAAUAGUUCAUACAUCUGGAUUCUGAGGUUGCAAAUCAAGGAACCCAGAAUUUUGGAACCGAAACUUGACCUGUCUUCCAGUGGUGAUGACAUUACCCUAAGGGUGAAUGUGGUUGUGAAUGUAUCUGUAAGGGUGCUGUAAGUUAAGUUAUUUGGACUUAUGGGGUCAGGUGCAAUAUGGCCAGUAUUGGGUAGUCUCUUAAUUUCCAGUAACUACCUGACUUCUCCCCUCAGUUUCUUAAUAUGUAAAUGAG
Molecule: long non-coding RNA, 827 nt
Filed under: Mus pahari (shrew mouse)
Lineage: Eukaryota; Metazoa; Chordata; Mammalia; Rodentia; Muridae
Description: predicted gene, 21718 (MGP_PahariEiJ_G0005573.1)
Source: RNAcentral